Long non-coding RNA from Carassius auratus (goldfish), 581 nucleotides. RefSeq lists it as uncharacterized. Lineage: Eukaryota; Metazoa; Chordata; Actinopteri; Cypriniformes; Cyprinidae. The transcript is spliced from 4 exons. The record is from RefSeq and is a predicted model, not a curated record.
GUGAAGACCAAGCCGUACAUCUGAAGAACUGGUUGCCUCCUGGGUAUAAAUAUCACUUCUGCACAUAUCGUUUGUGCACUACAGAAGGCAACUCACACCUGGACCACACAAGUUUUGAGGCAUCACUAAGAAUUGCAUUGACAGAAAUUUGUGAAGUAAAGGAAUGGGUGGGAAAGCUUAGUGAAUCAUCAGGAGUGAGUUGGAGCGUGGCAGUGACAAAACCAAAUAAGGGACAACGUGUACUUUAUAAGGCUCAUUACAGGUGCCAGCACAAUGUUUAUGUCCGAUCAGACACGGCUAAUCAAAGGCGGCUUUCAAAAAAUACAUGCUGCGAGGCAAAAAUGCUUUGCACUCUGGUGAAGACUACAGACAAAAGGGGAGGAACUAGUAGGAGCAUUGAUCCCCAUAUACCUACUUACCCAACUUCGGUGCGUUUGUACAAUGUACACAAUCAUAACAUCUUUGUUGCGGAGGCACUGAGGCACAAGGAUGUAGGGGUCAAGGCAAUUGAAACCCUGACACAGUUGUUUGAGGUUGGGCACAGUCCAACCUCAGCUCUGGCUGUAGUUAAAAGUGACCUG